AAUCUAACAAUAUCAACUUACAAUGAAUUUAUAAGAUAAAUUGACAAUGUAAAUUUAAAAUGAAAUCAGUUGCACUUAACAACAAAACAGAUCCAAAAGUUAAAAAAAAUUAAUCAGUAACAAUUAAAAAGAUUAAUACGACGUACAUAUAUCAUUUGAAAGAAAUUAUUACUGGAAAAAUUAAACAAGUGGCAGAGAGAUGAAUCGAUUUUUGGUGAUUAUAUAGUUGGCAUCUUGGAGAGUGAUGAAAUGCAUGAAUAAAAAGCAGAUACUUUACAGGAACUGUUAGGUGCAGUGGUGGGUGAUACAAGUUAAUUUUAGUUAAAAUGAUAUGAGGAAAAAGCACGAAAAAUAUAACCUGUUAACAAGGCACUCCAAUAUACAGAGGAAGAGCGUCAGACACUUUCAACCAAACACAAAGAACAUAUAUAUCUCGAAAAGACGGAUUCUUUCCAUAUGGGCGAAAGAGAUUGCAGACCAAAUAAACAGUUUUAAAAUGCCUUAUUUUAAUUUCUUUUUGAAGUCUAGCACUAAAUCCAUUUCAAUUUACAUAAUCCUAACCUCAUAUAAGAAAAAAUUUUACAAGAUUUUGUUCUAAAAGCCUAAUGUGGAAGUGUUUUGUCCGAAUAAUAUUAUGUACACUAUACACUAUUAAACAUGUCAUUUCAAUAUCAAAGAACAUAUUUAUUGCCA
Teleopsis dalmanni is the source of this 693-nucleotide long non-coding RNA. RefSeq lists it as uncharacterized. The transcript has 3 exons. Lineage: Eukaryota; Metazoa; Arthropoda; Insecta; Diptera; Diopsidae. The record is from RefSeq and is a predicted model, not a curated record.